GACGUAGGGGGCGAGCGUUGUCCGGAUUUAUUGGGCGUAAAGAGCUCGUAGGCGGCUCACUAAGUCGGAUGUGAAAACUCCAGGCUCAACCUGGAGACGCCAUUCGAUACUGCCAUGACUAGAGUUCGGUAGGGGAGUGUGGAAUUCCUGGUGGAGCGGUGAAAUGCGCAGAUAUCAGGAGGAACACCCGUAGCGAAGGCGGCACUCUGGGCCGGAACUGACGCUGAGGAGCGAAAGCGUGGGGAGCGAACAGG
This 254-nucleotide ribosomal RNA is filed under the name uncultured bacterium. Its description in RNAcentral is "partial 16S ribosomal RNA". It matches the Rfam family "Bacterial small subunit ribosomal RNA", at positions 524 to 776 of the family's 1533-position model. The record is from RNAcentral.